AAGAAGCAAACCCUAGGUUUCCGUGCCAACGUUUGACUGUCCAUCUUAUAUGAAAUAUUUUUAUAAUUAGUAUUUUCAUUAUUGUUAGAUGGUAAAACAUAAUUAAUACUUUAUGCGUGACUUGUCUUUUUAAUUUUUAUCACAAUUUUUUCAAAUAAGACGGACGGUCAAAUGUUGGACACGAAAACAGGGUUUGUCUUUUU
This 203-nucleotide microRNA precursor is filed under the name Oryza sativa Indica Group (long-grained rice). RNAcentral's name for it is "MIR812 microRNA precursor family". It matches the Rfam family "MIR812 microRNA precursor family". The record is from Rfam by way of RNAcentral. Lineage: Eukaryota; Viridiplantae; Streptophyta; Magnoliopsida; Poales; Poaceae.